CCGCGGUAUCCUAACCGUGCGAAGGUAGCGUAAUCACUUGUUCUUUAAAUAAGGACUAGUAUGAAUGGCACCACGAAGGUUAUACUGUCUCCUUUCUCUAAUCAGUGAAACUAAUCUUCCCGUGAAGAAGCGGGAAUAACCCUAUAAGACGAGAAGACCCUAUGGAGCUUUAAACGCAGUAACAAUUGCCCACCCAAAACUAUUCUCCGGAGAUCACAAAUUAUUUGGGCACCAUGAUUACAAGUUUUAGGUUGGGGUGACCGCGGAGCAAAAAACAACCUCCGCAGUGAACGGGAACCUCCCUAAUCUCAGGACUACACUCCUAAGAAUCAACAUAUUGACACCCAUUGACCCAAUAUUUGAUCAAUGAACCAAGUUACCCUAGGGAUAACAGCGCAAUCCACUUCAAGAGCUCCUAUCGACAAGUGGGUUUACGACCUCGAUGUUGGAUCAGGGUAUCCUAGUGGUGCAGCCGCUACUGAAGGUUCGUUUGUUCAACGAUUGAAACCCUACGUGAUCUGAGUUCAGACCGGA
This 534-nucleotide ribosomal RNA is filed under the name Leptodactylus pustulatus. Its description in RNAcentral is "partial large subunit ribosomal RNA". It matches the Rfam family "Bacterial large subunit ribosomal RNA", at positions 1931 to 2620 of the family's 2925-position model. The record is from RNAcentral. Lineage: Eukaryota; Metazoa; Chordata; Amphibia; Anura; Leptodactylidae.